GAAAUGCGAUAAGUAGUGUGAAUUGCAGAAUUCAGUGAAUCAUCGAAUCUUUGAACGCACAUUGCGCCCUUUGGUAUUCCUUAGGGCAUGCCUGUUCGAGCGUCAUCUAAACCUUCAAGCCCUGCUUGGUGUUGGGUGCCUGUCCCGCCUCCGCGCGCGGACUCACCUCAAAUCCAUUGGCGGCCCCCGCGUCGGCCACGAGCGCAGCAGAAACGCGAACUCGUGAGCCCGUCCGGGCGGCUCCCAGAAGCUACACCCACCCAGUUUGACCUCGGACCAGGUAGGGAUACCCGCUGAACUUAAGC
RNAcentral lists this unclassified non-coding RNA (305 nucleotides) under plant metagenome. RNAcentral's name for it is "partial contains 5.8S ribosomal RNA, internal transcribed spacer 2, and large subunit ribosomal RNA". The stretch from base 1 to 105 matches the Rfam family "5.8S ribosomal RNA", at positions 50 to 154 of the family's 154-position model. The record is from RNAcentral.